CAGUAGGGAGGAAGGUAGUGUAGUUAACACCUGCAUUAUUUGACGUUACCUACAGAAGAAAGCACCGGCUAACUCCGUGCCAGCAGCCGCGGUAAUACGGAGGGUGCGAGCGUUAAUCGGAAUUACUGGGCGUAAAGCGCAUGCAGGCGGCCUGUUAAGUCAGAUGUGAAAGACCCGGGGCGUUAACCUCGGAAUUGCAUUUGAAACUGGCAGGCUAGAGUCUUGUAGAGGGGGGUAGGAAUUUCAGGUGUAGCGGUGAAAUGCGUAGAGAUCUGAAGGAAUACCAGUGGCGAAGGCGGCCCCCUGGACAAAGACUGACGCUCAGAUGCGAAAGCGUGGGGAGCAAACAGGAUUAGAUACCCUGGUAG
Molecule: ribosomal RNA, 368 nt
Filed under: uncultured bacterium
Lineage: Bacteria
Description: bacterial SSU rRNA
Rfam family: Bacterial small subunit ribosomal RNA
Source: RNAcentral